AAUGAACGUUGGCGGCGUGGAUUAGGCAUGCAAGUCGAGCGAGAAGUUUUAAAAAGAUACUUCGGUUGAUUUUUAAAAUGGACAGCGGCGAAAGGGAGAGUAACGAGUAGAUCACGUACCCGAGGGUCCGGGAUAGCUGCGGGAAACUGCAGGUAAUACCGGAUAAUGUUUCCGAACCAAAGAUUUAUUGCCCUCGGAUCGGUCUGCUUACUAUUAGCUUGUUGGUGGGGUAAUGGCCUACCAAGGCGAAGAUGGUUAGCGGGUGUGAGAGCAUGGCCCGUCUCACUGGGACUGAGACACUGCCCAGACACCUACGGGUGGCUGCAGUCGAGAAUCUUCCGCAAUGGACGAAAGUCUGACGGAGCGACGCCGCGUGAUGGAUGAAGGCCCUCGGGUUGUAAACAUCUGUCGUAGGGGAGGAAAUUUUGACCGAUCCUAGGAGGAAGCGCAGGCUAAGUUCGUGCCAGCCGCCGCCGUAACAC
RNAcentral lists this ribosomal RNA (482 nucleotides) under uncultured bacterium. RNAcentral describes it as "bacterial SSU rRNA". It matches the Rfam family "Bacterial small subunit ribosomal RNA", at positions 29 to 526 of the family's 1533-position model. The record is from RNAcentral.